AAUGAAUCAAGAAAUAAAUAAAAUAAGAAAAGUUGAAAUCUGUUUAUUUAUCAUAAACUUUAAAAAGCUGGUAGAAGAGAAGUUCUUAAUGAAGACAGUUUCUAAGAGAUUCCUUUAUCUUCCUCCUGAGUGUUGGUUGCACUCUAAGAUUCUGGAAGAAGUUAACCAUCAAACUUCAAAGCAAGCCAGUUCUCUGGUGACAGAAACCAUAUUCAAAAAGCCUGGUACUGCCAUGGCUGCCAGCCUAGCCAAACUCAUGCAGUGAAUUGAUUGAUGGCUGGGUUCCAACAUCCUGCCUAUCUCAUCCAGCCCAACCUCCUUUACUAACACAACACUUUAAUGCUAAUACUUUCUCUUCCUUCCUAAAGUUCCUAUUAGACACAUGAGGCUAGGAAGCCAGAGCUCUGUCCAGGAGCAUACUGUGGAAAUCCCCUCUGUCAAAAGUUGCCUGGAAAACUGAAGGGAGGAAGCUAGAUGUAUUUUAUGGGUUUUGUUCCUGAGUUCACUAACACAAAUUCACAUAUUAAAUUGGACUGCUAUGAUCUGCUACUUUAAAAGACACAGGGUACAUGUUCCAGGAUUGCUAUACAAAUGAGGAAUCUUCAUGAAAAGUGCUUUAGGAAGGAAUGACACAGUUCAAUUCCCAGGAGAGAAUUGAUAAGGUAUCCAAGCUGAAACCUCUUUGAAGAUCAUCAGACUUUCUGUCUGCCAGCAAAAAGACUAAUUUCUAGAGAGAAAAGAUGUAUCCAACAUUACCGAAAGUUUAUUGGUAGAGCAGAAACUCCCAAAUUGGGCUUUUACAACUAUAUCAAACUUCCCGAGAUAUAUACCAGCAAAUUGCAGAAAAAGUAGGAAAAGGAGAAGAGUACUUAUGAUAACUGCCUGGAGCCAUCCUGAUAGCACUCUUCUCCAUGUUUUCCAACUUCUGCUCCUACUGUAUUUAAAUCCAAAGAAGGUAGAGUGAAGAAGCAGCAAGGAACUGCAGGCACUUGAGCAAGCCAUGAACCUCUGCUUGGUCCCCUCUCCUGAACCAUGGUAAAUACACUUAACUAUAAAACUUUGGUGGUACCAUCAUCCCCACAGAAUGACUAAAAUUGCUUUACAUUAAAGAAUAAAAGAUAGGUUAAGUUUUUCUCCUAUCUUAUAUCAGAACCCUGGAAAAAUGUCACACAACUCUUUCCUAAACCUUAACACUGGUAAAUUCAUAGCCUACUUCCUGUAUCAGAUUUCCAGUGACAGCUACAUUCUCCCAAACAAUCCUGUCCCAAAAAAGUAUCCUCUGAAGACAAUCCUUUCCCUCUGACUCAUCAUCCCUCCUUCUCUUUCCCAACUAGCCUUUCCUUUCAAUAGCCUCCUAAAUAAGGAUGCCAUCCUAGGAGUGUGUAUGUGCAUGUAUACAUACGUGAAUAUGUUGGGGUAUUUCUGUUUAUUUAAAAAGAAAAGUAAUCUUCAUUUAAAUGUAAAUAUAGAUCAACAGUCUCAAUCUCUACAUUAAAAUGAAUCCUCAUAUCCUGUACCACAAAUGUCCUAGACUAAGAAGGAAUAUUGAUUAUAGAUACUAUAUCUAAGUUUCUGUACUACAGUAACAGUGAUCUUUCCAAAGAAACAACAGUUUGAGGACCAUAUUAAUAAUGUAGGCUUUAGUGACCAUGACCAACCUAACAAUUGUGCUGCAAAGUAGGAGGUCUUUAAUGGCCAUAUUACAGGCCAGAAACAAUAACAAUUCUAAUAGGCCUGGAAAAAAUAGGCCUUUAUUAUCAAGUAAUUUGAGA
Perognathus longimembris pacificus (Pacific pocket mouse) is the source of this 1772-nucleotide long non-coding RNA. RefSeq lists it as uncharacterized. NCBI's taxonomy places the organism in Eukaryota, Metazoa, Chordata, Mammalia, Rodentia, Heteromyidae. The record is from RefSeq and is a predicted model, not a curated record. The transcript has 3 exons.